RNAcentral lists this ribosomal RNA (1521 nucleotides) under uncultured Planctomycetales bacterium. Its description in RNAcentral is "16S ribosomal RNA". It matches the Rfam family "Bacterial small subunit ribosomal RNA". The record is from RNAcentral. Lineage: Bacteria; Pseudomonadati; Planctomycetota; Planctomycetia; Planctomycetales.
CAUGCAAGUCGAACGAGGAUAUAUCCUUCGGGAUAUAAGCCGAGUGGCGCAAGGGUGAGUAAUGCAUAGAUUACCUGCCUCUAAGAUAAGGGCAACUUUGUGAAAACGAAGCUAAUACUUAAUAAUACAAAAGAAAAUAAUUUUCUUUUGUCAAUGGGAGGGUAGCAAUACCUUUUGCUUAGAGAGGGGUUUAUGUCCUAUCAGCUUGUUGGUGGGGUAAUGGCCUACCAAGGCGAAGACGGGUAGCCGGUCUUAGAGGAUGGUCGGCCACACUGGGACUGAGACACUGCCCGGACUUCUACGGAAGGCUGCAGUCGAGAAUCUUUCGCAAUGCCCGAAAGGGUGACGAAGCGACGCCGCGUGAGUGAGGAAGGCCUUCGGGUUGUAAAGCUCUGUCAGGGGUUAAGAAAUAUAAGUGUGCUAAUACCGCAUUUAUUUGACGAAGGCUCCAAAGGAAGCCACGGCUAACUCUGUGCCAGCAGCCGCGGUAAUACAGAGGUGGCAAGCGUUGUUCGGAAUUAUUGGGCGUAAAGAGCACGUAGGUGGGUUUGUAAGUCAGAUGUGAAAGCCUUCUGUUCAACGGAAGAAUUGCAUCUGAAACUGCGAGUCUUGAGUGUAGGAGGGGAGAAUGGAACUUCUGGUGGAGCGGUGAAAUGCGUAGAUAUCAGAAGGAACGCCGGCGGCGAAAGCGAUUCUCUGGCCUAUUACUGACACUCAGUGUGCGAAAGCUAGGGGAGCAAACGGGAUUAGAUACCCCGGUAGUCCUAGCCGUAAACGAUGGGCACUAAGUAGAGGGAAUUACCGAUGUUCUCUCUGCCGUAGCUAACGCAUUAAGUGCCCCGCCUGGGGAGUACGGCCGCAAGGCUAAAACUCAAAAGAAUUGACGGGGGCUCGCACAAGCGGUGGAGCAUGUGGCUUAACUCGAUGCAACGCGAAGAACCUUACCGGGGCUUGACAUGGUAGAAGUAGGAACCCGAAAGGGUAACGAACGGUAUCCAGUCCGUAACUAUCACAGGUGUUGCAUGGCUGUCGUCAGCUCGUGUCGUGAGACGUUGGGUUAAGUCCCCUAACGAGCGAAACCCUUGUUUUUAGUUACCAGCGGGUUAUGCCGGGUACUCUAGAAAGACUGCCGUCGUCAAGACGGAGGAAGGUGGGGAUGACGUCAAGUCAUCAUGGCCCUUAUGCCCCGGGCUGCACACGUGCUACAAUGGUCGGUACAAACGGAAGCGAAGCCGAGAGGUGAAGCGAAUCCUAAAAAGCCGAUCUCAGUUCGGAUUGGAGGCUGAAAUUCGCCUCCAUGAAGUUGGAAUCGCUAGUAAUCGCGGAUCAGCAUUGCCGCGGUGAAUAUGUUCCCGAGCCUUGUACACACCGCCCGUCAAGCCACCCAAGCAGGAUGCACCCGAAAACAUUAUAUCUAACCAGGUUUACUUGGAGGAAAAUGUUGAAGGAGUGUUUUGUGAGGAGGACUAAGUCGUAACAAGGUAGUCGUAGGAGAACCUGCGGCUGGAUCACCUCCUUUCU